AUGAGUAGACCUGAUGGCAUCAAUAUCCCCGAUGGCAAGUUCUACCUAGGAGAUGCUGACUAUGCAUGUCAGCUGGGUGUUUUUCCACUCAGGAAAACCAGAUAUUAUCCGAACGAGUUCUCUUGCAGGAACUAUCUUAGGACUUCACAUGAACUGUUUAAUCUCAGACACUCCACCUUAAGAGUUAUGUUUGAGAGGGCAUUUGGAACUCUAAAGAAUAUGUUUAAGAUCCUGGAUCAGAAGCCAUUCCACCCUUAGCCUACCCACGUUAAGUUUGUUUUUGCAUGUUGCAUCCUUCAUAACUGGAUCCUACAAUGGGGUUGUGAUGAACUUGUGCCGGAGGAGAAAGAUGAGACAUAUGAUGAUGUUGUCAGCUCCAGCCAUGGUGUGGAGGCGUUUGACAAUGAAGCCUGAAAGAACAAAAUAAUAAAGUGGGCUCAGGCAAUGUGGGAUAACAGAGGUCAGACAGGGAUCUGA
This 477-nucleotide ribosomal RNA is filed under the name Triticum aestivum (bread wheat). RNAcentral describes it as "partial small subunit ribosomal RNA". Lineage: Eukaryota; Viridiplantae; Streptophyta; Magnoliopsida; Poales; Poaceae. The record is from RNAcentral.